ACGCUGGCGGCGUGCCUAAUACAUGCAAGUCGAACGGUCUUUUCUAUGGAAGCUUGCUUCCGCUGAGAAGAUAGUGGCGGACGGGUGAGUAACACGUGGGUAACCUGCCCCAGUAAGAGGGGGAUAACAUCCGGAAACGGGUGCUAAUACCGCAUAGUUUUCUGAUCGCAUGAUCGGGAAAGGAAAGACGGCCUUUGUGCUGUCGCUUAUGGAUGGACCCGCGGCGUAUUAGUUAGUUGGUGAGGUAAUGGCUCACCAAGACGAUGAUACGUAGCCGACCUGAGAGGGUGAUCGGCCACAUUGGGACUGAGACACGGCCCAAACUCCUACGGGAGGCAGCAGUAGGGAAUCUUCCGCAAUGGACGAAAGUCUGACGGAGCAACGCCGCGUGAGUGAAGAAGGUUUUCGGAUCGUAAAACUCUGUUGUCAGAGAAGAACAAGUCGGAGAGUAACUGCUCCGGCCUUGACGGUAUCUGACCAGAAAGCCACGGCUAACUACGUG
RNAcentral lists this ribosomal RNA (502 nucleotides) under uncultured bacterium. Its description in RNAcentral is "bacterial SSU rRNA". It matches the Rfam family "Bacterial small subunit ribosomal RNA", at positions 33 to 507 of the family's 1533-position model. The record is from RNAcentral.